CAGCCGCCGCGGUAAUACCGGCGGCCCGAGUGGCGGUCACUAUUAUUGGGCUUAAAGCGUCCGUAGCCGGGUUGGGAAGUCCUCCGGGAAAUCUGGCCGCUUAAAGGUCAGAAUGCCGGAGGAUACUCCCAGCCUAGGGAGCGGGGGAGGCCGAGGGGAUUCCCGGGGUAGGGGGGAAAUCCUAUAAUCCCGGGAGGACCACCUGUGGCGAAGGCGCUCGGCUGGAACGCGUCCGACGGUGAGGGACGAAGGCCAGGGGAGCAAACCGGAUUAGAUACCCGGGUAGUCCUGGCUGUAAACGAUGCGGACUUUGUGUCGGACAAGCUAUGAGCUUGUCCGGUGCCGGAGGGAAACCGUUAAGUCCGCCGCCUGGGGAGUACGGCCGCAAGGCUGAAACUUAAAGGAAUUGGCGGG
Molecule: ribosomal RNA, 414 nt
Filed under: uncultured microorganism
Description: bacterial SSU rRNA
Rfam family: Archaeal small subunit ribosomal RNA
Source: RNAcentral